RNAcentral lists this microRNA (17 nucleotides) under Corchorus capsularis. RNAcentral describes it as "sRNA CCACVL1_02283". Lineage: Eukaryota; Viridiplantae; Streptophyta; Magnoliopsida; Malvales; Malvaceae. The record is from RNAcentral.
AAAUGCAACGUCACAAA